CCAAUAGCGUAUAUUAAAGUUGUUGCAGUUAAAAAGCUCGUAGUUGAAUUUCGAGACCGGUUUACUGGUCGUGCUUUUGUACGUACUGGUAUUAUCGGUUUCCCCUUUCUGACGAAUCAUAAUGCCAUUAAUUUGGUGUUUUGGGGACUCAGGACUGUUACUUUGAAAAAAUUAGAGUGUUUAAAGCAGGCUCACGCUUGAAUACAUUAGCAUGGAAUAACGGAAUAGGACGUUUGAUUCUAUUUUGUUGGUUUCUAGGAUCGACGUAAUGAUUAAUAGGGAUAGUUGGGGGCAUUAGUAUUCAAUUGUCAGAGGUGAAAUUCUUGGAUUUAUUGAAGACUAACUACUGCGAAAGCAUUUGCCAAGGAUGUUUUCAUUAAUCAAGAACGAAAGUUAGGGGAUCGAAGACGAUCAGAUACCGUCGUAGUCUUAACCAUAAACUAUGCCGACUAGGGAUCGGAUGAUGUUAAUUUUUUAAUGACUCAUUCGGCGCCUUACG
RNAcentral lists this ribosomal RNA (499 nucleotides) under uncultured Glomeromycotina. Its description in RNAcentral is "partial small subunit ribosomal RNA". It matches the Rfam family "Eukaryotic small subunit ribosomal RNA", at positions 591 to 1092 of the family's 1831-position model. The record is from RNAcentral. Lineage: Eukaryota; Fungi; Glomeromycota.